CCUACGGGAGGCAGCAGUGAGGAAUAUUGGUCAAUGGGCGAGAGUCUGAACCAGCCAAGUAGCGUGAAGGAUGACUGCCCUAUGGGUUGUACACUUCUUUUAUAAAGGAAUAAAACGCGGCACGUGUGCCUUUUUGCAUGUACUUUAUGAAUAAGGAUCGGCUAACUCCGUGCCAGCAGCCGCGGUAAUACGGAGGAUCCGAGCGUUAUCCGGAUUUAUUGGGUUUACAGGGAGCGUAGAUGGGUUGUUAAGUCAGUUGUGAAAGUUUGCGGCUCAACCGUAAAAUUGCAAUUGAUACUGGCAGUCUUGAGUACAGUUGAGGUAGGAGGAAUUCGUGGUGUAGCGGUGAAAUGCUUAGAUAUCACGAAGAACCCCGAGUGCGAAGGCAGCUUACUAAACUGUGACUGACAUUGAUGCUCGAAAGUGUGGGUAGCAAACAGGAUUAGAUACCCCUGUAGUC
RNAcentral lists this ribosomal RNA (460 nucleotides) under uncultured bacterium. RNAcentral describes it as "partial 16S ribosomal RNA". It matches the Rfam family "Bacterial small subunit ribosomal RNA", at positions 338 to 795 of the family's 1533-position model. The record is from RNAcentral.